Molecule: long non-coding RNA, 767 nt
Organism: Exaiptasia diaphana
Lineage: Eukaryota; Metazoa; Cnidaria; Anthozoa; Actiniaria; Aiptasiidae
Exons: 3
Source: RefSeq, a predicted model, not a curated record
GUUAUAUACAAAUAGAAAUAUAUCUUCACAAAAUCGUAUUUUUUGAGCCAAAUCAACAAAAGCCCCGAAUGUUCGUGAAGUGGGAGGAGCGGUCUCAGUGCGUCAUAAAUCUGACAUUCUAGUAUCAAUGUGUGUAGUACGAAGUUGUACCAGUUGGAUCUGGAUAUCUGAAUAACUUCAAGGGUCAUAAGAAUAACCACGAGAGCACUGAAGCUUGUUUGUUUUAGUUACCUGAAGGCAAACUAUAUUUGUGCCGAUAGACAACAACGCAGAACACAAAGCUUCAAGAACUAGCCAACAAAAGCCUUUGAAGAUGAAGUCACUCCUUAUACUCUUGCUGUCAUUGGUUGCUGUGUCACUUGGAUACAGGGGUAGUUGCUAUGCACCGCCAUUUAACGUGUAUGGCAAACCCUGCUAUUCUAGUGUAUCCAUCUUUGGAAGCUCCAGCACAAGAGUAAAAUAUUCCAUAUCAGUAAAUGGUGAUACUAUGAUAUGCUGUCAGGUUCUUGCCUGUGGUACUGGUCGUACUUGUUCGAAAUUUGGCUGGCAUUACCUUGGCUGUACUACCGGUUCUACGUCACAGAGCUUCCCGUGGGGUAACAAUGUUGGUGCUCCAGCUAUAAAAUGUAAAGGGAACCCAUUUGGUGCGACGGUCUCCUGGUCCCAUUAGUCGUCAUCUCGGACAAGUGAACCAAGCAGAAUUGAAAAUAAAUCUGAAUAAAAUGGAUUAAACAGUCAUUGCAAGUUUAUUAAAUCACUUGAAAUCA